ACCACGCUAUCCCUUACGUACGCAAAGGCAAUAAACCUCUACCCGAGAAACGUCAUCAUGACGUUGGUAGACAGACUGAAACCGAAACAAUUCGGAAGGGGAGGGCUGGGUUCCACGAAUGGACAGUUGUUCGCUGCCUCCUACUGAAAGAAAAGCAGGACCGAAGGUCGCGUCCCUUUCGGGGGCCAUCGUAAUCCCCUCAAAUCCCUGGCUUUCGGGCGCGAACUUGUUCGCCCCCUAGCUUCGAGCAUAGUUCAACUCUACCAAACUGGUGGCGCUGUCGAACACUAUGACGUCAUUUGUUUACAAACAGGGAGAGGUCUAUAACGUACGAUACACUAAAACUCUCUCCUAUCUAUACCCACUAUGAUCACCGGGUAUCGGCACGGGUGACUUUAUCGGUCGAGAUAUAGGUGGAGGAGAGCGAGGAGGAAAGCACGCCCCAAGAAGGUGUCGCCGAAGAACUGCCAGGGAUAUCCGAACGACGCUGUUCGUUCAAAACGUGAAGGAGGGCGCUGAAAGCGGGGCUGCUGGUAGACGACACCAGCAGACGAGCGGCAGAAACGGAAAUAUUCCGUGGGAAAGCGCAGGGGAUAUGCGGGAAGAUGUGGUGUAAGGCUUAGCUGGUCACGUGCACUAAACUACCUCUGAUGCCACUCCACCGAUAUCUCGCCCGAUAAAGUCGCUCUUGCGCAUACUCGAUUAGUGCCUUCUCCAAAACGCUGUGUGCGAUAUGCGGAACUGCUAGCUUUUGUACACCAGGGAGUGGAAACGAGACAUACGCAUAAACCGAAAGCCAAAUCGAAGUCCCCGGACCGACUUCAGCAUCGCAUACAACACGUUGAAGGCACUGAUUUUCUCGCCGCAACAUCAGCGACGUUCUGUCCAUUUAUUUCCCCUCUUCGACUACACGAUAAGGAUGACAGGGAAAGAAUGACAGUCUGGGCCGCUCCUUCACCACUACGCCGACGGACAGGAGGCACGCUCUUCCCCUCUCCAGCUGGCUGCUCGCCACCUAGCGGACCCCAGCAGAAGCAUUCAAUGAAUGAUAGUAACAGCAGACGACAGGACAAAAACUACUGCGGAGAAGAAUAUUCAAUGUCGAGAAGGAGAAGAGGGAAAAAGAUACCAUCACAGGAGCAGCGUGAACGAAAACGAAGAAGACAGCGGGAAACCACGCGCGAGUUAUAUUAUGUAUGGUAAGCUAUAUAUUAUGUUAUGUUAGUUACACUGAUCUCGAUUGUAAAAGGCUGGAUGGCGGAUAGGGAGCGCGAGCGUGAAGAAACCGGCCGCCAUCUUACGGUGCUCACAACAGUCGCCGCAGCGAUCAUGGCAACUUCUUGCAAUUACGGUCGUACCAACCGUACUGGCAGGGUUACAGGGCCUAAAUUUAUACAGGUUUCGUCAUGGGGGCUACCUAGUGAAUAAUCUGUGCAGUGUGAUACGGCUGGGUGUACAGGUAAGUAUCACGUUCCUCAUCCACUGGUUUCUACUUUACAGGAAGGAACAACCUCAGUGCACGCACUGUGGUUAGCCUCUCUGAGUUUUGCAUAUUUUCUUACAUGUUCACAUCAGAAACACACCUUACACUUUAGGCUCCUUCACCCAGGAAUAUAAUAAUUAAAGAUUAUAAUUCUUUUUAGAAGAGUUCCCCAUGUUCUUUGUAGAAUAGUUUUUAAUCUUUUUAAUUUUUAGAAGAUACUGGGAUUGUAAACCAUGUUUUAAACUGAUGUUUUAACAUUUGUCCAAUGCAUUUAUUAAACAACAUAUUCAUUUUUAACUGGUUGCACCCAAACCAAUGUUCUGAUGUAUUAUUUCCUUUGUUGUUGAUGCACCAUAAAAAUUGGAAUAAUCAUCAUCAAUGCAGGUUACUUCACAGUUGCCUCGACAUACUCAAGAAAUGGGUGCAGAACCUGCGUAAUGCCCACAAACUUCACAGCACCUCCAGAAAGUAAAGGCAUAUGUGUCACAUGGGAUUUUUAAAGGCAUUCACAGUAUAUAAUACCUUGUAUGAACUGUUGUAGAUCUAAGCAGCCUCUACAGUACACUCUCAGAAAUUAAAACUUGUCAGGGAACAGUAAUAAUUAUUCCAGUUAAUAGGCAUGCACAUGUACACUAUAAGAAGAAAAUUAUUUAUUGAGAAUGCCCUACUGUUGAUCACACUCAUGCAGCUGUAGGUUUACCUUCGGCCUCUUGGAACACUUUGUGGUUGCCUUAGCUGCAGGGAGAGUGUCAUCCAGCAUGUCAACUACUUGCAGAAAUAUUGACGUAUUUAAGAUUAUGACACAGUUUGAAGGGUUUCAAUUCAGGAAAUUUGCAGUGGCGGGGCCUGCCAGAGUGAAACCUACUGAAUAUUUUAUGGUGUCGAAGUGGCAGUUCCUCCAGGAUAGGAAUAUCUUAGAUGAGAGCAAAAAGCUUGAAAUUAACAAAGUGUUGUUUGCAUUAAGCAAUUUGUAAUACACUGAACACAUAGGCAGCAAAACAAAAAUUUAAAAUUCAGCAUGUAUGAAAAUUGGGUGCAACAAAUUUGCAUAAUGUACGUGUACAUUGUCAUUCCUGAGGUAUAUAUUGCCAUUGUAGCAAGGUCACAAAACAAUAAAUGUAGCCUUUUGCGACCUCCCUGCACGUUCAUUGUAUCCUGAAACGCAUAAGUGCAAGAAAUAAAUCUUCAACUUGAAUAAACUUGAUGUUGUAUAAACUUGAC
Molecule: RNA transcript, 2704 nt
Organism: Ornithodoros turicata
Lineage: Eukaryota; Metazoa; Arthropoda; Arachnida; Ixodida; Argasidae
Exons: 3
Source: RefSeq, a predicted model, not a curated record